UACGUAGGGUGCGAGCGUUGUCCGGAAUUAUUGGGCGUAAAGGGCUCGUAGGCGGUCUGUCGCGUCGGGAGUGAAAACUCAGGGCUUAACCCUGAGCCUGCUCCCGAUACGGGCAGACUAGAGGUAUGCAGGGGAGAACGGAAUUCCUGGUGUAGCGGUGAAAUGCGCAGAUAUCAGGAGGAACACCGGUGGCGAAGGCAGCCUCCUGGGCCAACACUGACGCUCAUGCACGAAAGCGUGGGGAGCAAACAGG
Molecule: ribosomal RNA, 253 nt
Filed under: uncultured bacterium
Lineage: Bacteria
Description: partial 16S ribosomal RNA
Rfam family: Bacterial small subunit ribosomal RNA
Source: RNAcentral